Non-coding RNA from Triticum aestivum (bread wheat), 135 nucleotides. Lineage: Eukaryota; Viridiplantae; Streptophyta; Magnoliopsida; Poales; Poaceae. The record is from Rfam.
AUUAUAUUUCCUUCGUUCGGAAAUACUUGUCAUUUAAAUGAAUAAAAGAGAAUGUAUCUAGAUGUAUUUUAGUUCUAGAUACAUCUUUUUUUAUCUAUUUUGAUAACAAGUAUUUUCGGACGGAGGUAGUAUUAC